GACGAACCGAGCGAACGUUGUUCGGAAUCACUGGGCUUAAAGGGCGCGUAGGCGGGUGCUCAAGUCUGUGGUGAAAUCCUCCAGCUUAACUGGAGAACGGCCGUGGAUACUGGCGACCUCGAGGGGGGUAGGGGCUUGCGGAACUGUGCGUGGAGCGGUGAAAUGCGUUGAUAUGCACAGGAACUCCGGUGGCGAAGGCGGCGAGCUGGACCCUUUCUGACGCUGAGGCGCGAAAGCCAGGGGAGCGAACGGG
This 253-nucleotide ribosomal RNA is filed under the name uncultured bacterium. Its description in RNAcentral is "partial 16S ribosomal RNA". It matches the Rfam family "Bacterial small subunit ribosomal RNA", at positions 524 to 776 of the family's 1533-position model. The record is from RNAcentral.